RNAcentral lists this ribosomal RNA (333 nucleotides) under Eisenia andrei. RNAcentral describes it as "partial 16S ribosomal RNA". It matches the Rfam family "Bacterial large subunit ribosomal RNA", at positions 1955 to 2524 of the family's 2925-position model. Lineage: Eukaryota; Metazoa; Annelida; Clitellata; Crassiclitellata; Lumbricidae. The record is from RNAcentral.
GGUAGCAUAAUCACUUGCCCAUUAAUUGUGGGCUAGAAUGAAAGGACUAACGAAAUAAAAACUGUCUCUAUAAGUGACAUAAAAAUUAAUCUCUAACUGAAGAUUGUUAGAUAUCGUCGAAGGACAAGAAGACCCUAUAGAGCUUUAUUUUAAUAAAUAACUAUAAUUUAUAUAAAUUCGGUUGGGGCGACCAGGGAAAUUAAAUAUCAUCCCUUAAUAGCAGAUAAUUCAAUCACACACUUGACCCUUUACCAAAGAUCAUCAAAACAAGCUACCUUAGGGAUAACAGGCUAAUCCCACUAAAGAGUCCUUAUCAAUAGUGGGGUUUGGNAC